This 88-nucleotide transfer RNA is filed under the name Deltaproteobacteria bacterium. RNAcentral's name for it is "tRNA-Leu". It matches the Rfam family "tRNA". From Rfam's summary of the family: Transfer RNA (tRNA) molecules are approximately 80 nucleotides in length. Lineage: Bacteria; Pseudomonadati; Myxococcota; Myxococcia. The record is from RNAcentral. RNAcentral also lists the same sequence under 1 other name.
GUCGGCGUGGCGGAAUGGCAUACGCAGGUGGCUUAAAACCUCCGGGGGCGAAAGCCUCGUGCGGGUUCAACUCCCGCCGCCGACACCA